RNAcentral lists this ribosomal RNA (683 nucleotides) under Aneurinibacillus aneurinilyticus. RNAcentral's name for it is "bacterial SSU rRNA". It matches the Rfam family "Bacterial small subunit ribosomal RNA", at positions 73 to 755 of the family's 1533-position model. Lineage: Bacteria; Bacillati; Bacillota; Bacilli; Caryophanales; Paenibacillaceae. The record is from RNAcentral.
CUUGCUCUUCGGCGGUUAGCGGCGGACGGGUGAGUAACACGUAGGCAACCUGCCUGUACGACUGGGAUAACUCCGGGAAACCGGAGCUAAUACCGGAUACGUUUUUCAGACCGCAUGGUCUGAAAGAGAAAGACCUUUGGUCACGUACAGAUGGGCCUGCGGCGCAUUAGCUAGUUGGUGGGGUAACGGCCUACCAAGGCGACGAUGCGUAGCCGACCUGAGAGGGUGAUCGGCCACACUGGGACUGAGACACGGCCCAGACUCCUACGGGAGGCAGCAGUAGGGAAUCUUCCGCAAUGGACGAAAGUCUGACGGAGCAACGCCGCGUGAACGAUGAAGGUUUUCGGAUCGUAAAGUUCUGUUGUUAGGGAAGAACCGCCGGGAUGACCUCCCGGUCUGACGGUACCUAACGAGAAAGCCCCGGCUAACUACGUGCCAGCAGCCGCGGUAAUACGUAGGGGGCAAGCGUUGUCCGGAAUUAUUGGGCGUAAAGCGCGCGCAGGCGGCUUCUUAAGUCAGGUGUGAAAGCCCACGGCUCAACCGUGGAGGGCCACUUGAAACUGGGAGGCUUGAGUGCAGGAGAGGAGAGCGGAAUUCCACGUGUAGCGGUGAAAUGCGUAGAGAUGUGGAGGAACACCCGUGGCGAAGGCGGCUCUCUGGCCUGUAACUGACGCUGAGGCGCG